This 482-nucleotide long non-coding RNA is filed under the name Homo sapiens (human). RNAcentral describes it as "HSALNT0280529". The stretch from base 10 to 313 matches the Rfam family "Metazoan signal recognition particle RNA". From Rfam's summary of the family: The signal recognition particle (SRP) is a universally conserved ribonucleoprotein. The record is from RNAcentral. Lineage: Eukaryota; Metazoa; Chordata; Mammalia; Primates; Hominidae.
CAAAAUGAGGCCAGGUUUGGCACGGUGGUGUGCACCUAUAGUCCCAGCUACUUGGGAGGCUGAGACGGAUGGAUGGCUUGAAUUCAGGAGUUCUGGGCUGUAGUGUGCCAUGCCAAUGUAGUGUCUGCACAAAGUUCAGCAUCAAUAUGGUGAUCUCUCGGGAGAGAGGGACCACCAGUUGCCUAAGGAGAAGUGAACUGGCCCAGGUUGGAAAAGGAACAGAUCAAAACUCCUGUGCUGAUGAGUAGUGGUAUCUCACCUGUGAAUAGCUGCUGCACUCCAGCCUGGGCAAUAUAGUGAGAUCCUGGCUCUAUUAUACAAUUAUUAAAAAUUAAAAAACAAAACAAAAUGAGGCUAGAACUGAUGUUUGUCUUGAAGCUGCUCAAGUCCCAUGCCCCAUGCUGAGGGCACUGAUGCCUGUCCUAGGAAGGCACAAUCUCCCUUUGCUGCAAGAGCCAUGGGCAGUGGGUCCUGUUGCCCAU